This 431-nucleotide ribosomal RNA is filed under the name uncultured bacterium. RNAcentral describes it as "bacterial SSU rRNA". It matches the Rfam family "Bacterial small subunit ribosomal RNA", at positions 28 to 505 of the family's 1533-position model. The record is from RNAcentral.
GAUGAACGCUGGCGACGUGGAUUAGGCAUGCAAGUCGAAUGGGUUUAGACCCAUGGCAGACGAGGUAGUAACACGUAGGAAUCUACCCCAGAGUCGAGGAUAAUCGGUCGAAAGGCCGGAUAAUACUCGAUAGUCUCUUUUGAGUAAAGAUUUAUCGCUCUGGGAGGAGCCUGCGGAGUAUCAGCUUGUUGGUGAGGUAAAAGCUCACCAAGGCUACGACGCUUAGGGGAGGUGAGAGCCUGACCCCCACCGAUGGUACUGAGACACGGACCAUACACCUACGGGUGGCCGCAGUCGAGAAUCUUCCACAAUGGACGAAAGUCUGAUGGAGCGACGUCGCGUGAUGGAUGAAGCCUUUCGGGGUGUAAACAUCUUUUAUGAGGGAGGAAGUUUAUUGACGUUACCUCAUGAAUAAGGGGCUGCUAAAUUCG